GAAGUUUGCUCCAGUAAUGAAGAGUGGGAGACAGACUUGCAGGGAGGUUUUUCUGGAGGGGCUGUAGCGUGAGAGAGAAGCAGGGAAGGUGCUCUGCACUCCAGCCAGAUAGAAAGGCCUGUCUGGAGCUACCUUAUGUGAGAAGCAGAAGAGAUGUUGAAGAUUGGGUGGCUACCUACAGCCAGUUGACAUCUGAGGCUGGAGAAUACUCCUGGUAUUGGCUGGAGAGGAGAACGCUGGUUGGUUGGCAGUGAUGCUUUCUUCUCUGCUGCUGUCCUCUUCGACUCAUCCUCCAUCCUGGCUUCCAAGCACUUCUCCCAUUGGCCGUAGUGAUGACCCUCACCUGGCUCUCCCUGCGCCAUUCUGCUGAUCACUACUUACUUAUGCUGGAGCACCAUGCUGAUUUCAACUGAAUUGCACCAAGAGCAGAAGCCUCAAGGAUUUUCCCCGGACACAUGAUGUUAGAACUGGAAGCUGCAACAUUUGGAGUUUGCCCCCAGUGGGAAGAAUGCGGCCGUCAUGAGAUCUGUAGGAGACAAGAGUCAGGCAAUAAAAUUGGGUUGCUCUCUCACAGUCUGAGAUGGGUGGCAUUGCUAGUCUAGCGGCAGGUGUUGUCAGGGAACCUUUGUCGGCACAGCCUGCGAGGAAUCUUCCGAGGCACAGAGAAUGUAGCUCAGCAGCACUUUCAAAGACUGGGCUGCAACUAAAUCAAUUUCCUAGUUGCUACAAGGAAUAAUGACUCCCUUGCCUCCCCAAGUCAGAGUGGCAACUAGUACUGUCCCUCUGACGUACUGGAUAGCCACACUUGGCUGUUGGAAAGACUCACCACACUUCCGUAUAAGACUUCCUGGCAGCUGAAUAGCUCUGCUUGACCAGUGGCCUCUAGUGCCAUUAUCUGUGUUUUGCUGACUUGCUAUUUGCAUCUCCCUGUUCACCUCCUUCAUUGUAGCCACACAGAAGACUGACAGGGCUGCCAUGUGUGCCAUUAUCACCCUCACUAAAUUAACCAUCACCAAAGUGUGUUACAUCCACCAUGCCUAGACCCCCCCCCCACCUCUGCAUUACUCAGUCUGCAGAAGAUGUGGUCACCCCAUUUUCCUGACCCCAUGCUAGAAUCCAUAGCUAUGUUUCUUUUACAAAGGAUGAAAUAAUCUGGACGCUGUUGCUCUCUGGAAACCAUUUAGCACAGGACGUGACUGUUAAUUUAAGUAGAUGACAGAAAUGUGAACUAAGCUGCAGAUAAAUCUUCAGGCCGGCUCUUUGGGUUUCACUCUCUGUUGUUUACACAUUACAAAAAUAAUCACAAUGUAUUGAUUUCUGAAGCCCUGAAUAUUUUGGUUGGGACUUGCUUCUCUCUUACUGCAUGUCGAUGGCAGAUGGUUCUACUGUUCCACGAGUAUCACCUUUCAGAGCUACUGCAAGUGAGACACAGAUGUUGCUAGGUCUCAGGUAAAGCCAUCAAAGAUGGAGGUUCAAUCAAGUUUGACAUCAUCUUCCACUGAAAUCAACCUGAAGGCAAAUGGCUUGGUUUUGAUUAGCAGCCUGCGGGGUUGUGCCUAACCUAUAUUGGGAUUGCUGCUGCUACUUUACCUGAAUUGCAAAAAUCACAGAUGGUAAUUAUAACGAUAAGUGCUUACAGAUUUCCUAACAACAAAGAUAAUUUGUUUGCUCUAUGCCUUGUUAGAAGGGGAAUUUUGUUCUGGUAACUGGGUGGCUUGUGAAUCAGCCAUUGGCCUUUCACCUCUCUGUCCCCAGCUUGACUGCAGCCCCAAACACACAGUGAUUAGACACUGAUCUGACGAGAAGGGUCUUGUGAAAGCUUUAGGUAGGAGUCUACUGUUCUCUGCUCCCCCUCUACAAUCUUUCUUUGGCCAAAAGUGACGUGGAGCCAAAGACAAUUAUGGCAAUGCUGCAGAAGUCCUGGCCUCUUUGGAAGAGAGGAUCCCUCCAUAGAAGAAGACUCUGGGAUCUUUACGCCAACUCAUUGCCCUGUGCCUCCCAUUGAAGAAGGCUGUUGGAUUUGUUUCCUGUAGCAUUGCCAACUUCUCUUGCUGGAAACAGCAUCCAUAGGAAUCUGAAGAAAUUUCAUCCAAUGAUGGAUAGAGGUUCACGUUCCAGCGGUAGGGCUGAUCAUGUGAAAUGUUCAUUCUCCAUGGCUUGGGAUUUUGAUAGCCCAGUUUGGGAAAGCAUCCUUUCCUAUCAUGCCAUUGUGGGAGGUUUGUGGUGACUGCCCCUGGGUGCAGGGGACACUGCAGGAAGGUGGAAAGCCCAGCAUUUGAUUGGCGAGCCAAGGAGCGUCCAGUGAAAGGAGAGAGAAGAGACAGCCGAAGGGGAAUGGGCAAUGGUGGCUCAAUGUUGAUUGGGAAUAAAUAGUGAAACUAGAAAGCAGAUGCAGGGACCCUGUCCCUGUUCCCCAAAG
Dermochelys coriacea (leatherback sea turtle) is the source of this 2419-nucleotide long non-coding RNA. RefSeq lists it as uncharacterized. Lineage: Eukaryota; Metazoa; Chordata; Testudines; Dermochelyidae. The transcript has 5 exons. The record is from RefSeq and is a predicted model, not a curated record.